GACGAACCGUGCGAACGUUGUUCGGAUUCACUGGGCUUAAAGGGCGCGUAGGCGGGCGACCAAGUCAGGGGUGAAAUCCUUCAGCUUAACUGGAGAACAGCCUCUGAUACUGGCCGUCUGGAGGGAGGUAGGGGCCUGUGGAACUGCUGGUGGAGCGGUGAAAUGCGUAGAUAUCAGCAGGAACGCCGGUGGCGAAAGCGACGGGCUGGACCUCAUCUGACGCUGAGGCGCGAAAGCUAGGGGAGCAAACGGG
This 253-nucleotide ribosomal RNA is filed under the name uncultured bacterium. Its description in RNAcentral is "partial 16S ribosomal RNA". It matches the Rfam family "Bacterial small subunit ribosomal RNA", at positions 524 to 776 of the family's 1533-position model. The record is from RNAcentral.